AAUAUUGGUCAAUGGAGGCAACUCUGGACCAGCAAAGUCGUGUUAAGGAUGUAGGUCUUAUGGAUUGUAAACUUCUUUUUCAAGGGAAUAAAGUGGGGGACGUGUCCUCCUUUGCAUUUAUCUUGCGAAUUAGUAUCGGCUAACUACGUUCCAGCAGCCGCGGUAAUACGGAGGAUCCGAGCAUUAUCCGGAUUUAUUGGGUUUAAAGGGUGCGCAGGCGGGAUGUUAAGUCGGCGGUGAAAUUUUGCAGCUCAACUGUAAAAGUGCCUUCGAUACUGGCUUCCUUGAGUGUGGAUGAAGUAGGCGGAAUGUGUGGUGUAGCGGUGAAAUGCUUAGAUAUCACGAGGAACUCCGAUUGCGCAGGCAGCUUACUAAACCACUACUGACGCUCAUGCACGAAGGCGUGGGGAUCAAACAGG
RNAcentral lists this ribosomal RNA (419 nucleotides) under uncultured bacterium. Its description in RNAcentral is "partial 16S ribosomal RNA". It matches the Rfam family "Bacterial small subunit ribosomal RNA", at positions 360 to 776 of the family's 1533-position model. The record is from RNAcentral.